RNAcentral lists this ribosomal RNA (500 nucleotides) under uncultured bacterium. RNAcentral's name for it is "partial 16S ribosomal RNA". It matches the Rfam family "Bacterial small subunit ribosomal RNA", at positions 30 to 523 of the family's 1533-position model. The record is from RNAcentral.
AUUGAACGCUAGCGGGAUGCCUUACACAUGCAAGUCGAACGGCAGCACGGACUUCGGUCUGGUGGCGAGUGGCGAACGGGUGAGUAAUGUAUCGGAACGUGCCCAGUAGCGGGGGAUAACUACUCGAAAGAGUAGCUAAUACCGCAUACGCCCUACGGGGGAAAGGGGGGGAUCGCAAGACCUCUCACUAUUGGAGCGGCCGAUAUCGGAUUAGCUAGUUGGUGGGGUAAAGGCCCACCAAGGCGACGAUCCGUAGCUGGUUUGAGAGGACGACACGCCACACUGGGACUGCGACACGGCCCAGACUCCUACGGGAGGCAGCAGUGGGGAAUUUUGGACAAUGGGGGCAACCCUGAUUCAGCCAUCCCGCGUGUGCGAUGAAGGCCUUCGGGUUGUAAAGCACUUUUGGCAGGAAAGAAAUCGCAUGGGUUAAUACCCUGUGUGGAUGACGGUACCUGCAGAAUAAGCACCGGCUAACUACGUGCCAGCAGCCGCCGUAA